Molecule: non-coding RNA, 83 nt
Filed under: Devosia psychrophila
Lineage: Bacteria; Pseudomonadati; Pseudomonadota; Alphaproteobacteria; Hyphomicrobiales; Devosiaceae
Description: ZTP sequence
Rfam family: ZMP/ZTP riboswitch aptamer (pfl RNA motif)
About the family: Previously known as pfl RNA. ZMP is also known as AICAR.
Source: RNAcentral
ACUGGUUCGCGCUACUGGCGAGAAGAGAUGGCGUACCAUCGGGGAACGCGAACCCAAGAAUGCCGCUCGCCUGGGCACCCAUC